ACGGGUGAGGAAUACAUCGGAAUCUGCCUAUUUGUGGGGGAUAACGUAGGGAAACUUACGCUAAUACCGCAUACGUCCUACGGGAGAAAGUGGGGGACCGCAAGGCCUCACGCAGAUAGAUGAGCCGAUGUCGGAUUAGCUAGUUGGCGGGGUAAUGGCCCACCAAGGCGACGAUCCGUAGCUGGUCUGAGAGGAUGAUCAGCCACACUGGAACUGAGACACGGUCCAGACUCCUACGGGAGGCAGCAGUGGGGAAUAUUGGACAAUGGGCGCAAGCCUGAUCCAGCCAUGCCGCGUGGGUGAAGAAGGCCUUCGGGUUGUAAAGCCCUUUUGUCCGGAAAGAAAAGUUCUGGGUUAAUAACCCAGGAUCAUGACGGUACCGGAAGAAUAAGCACCGGCUAACUUCGUGCCAGCAGCCGCGGUAAUACGAAGGGUGCAAGCGUUACUCGGAAUUACUGGGCGUAAAGCGUGCGUAGGUGGUGGUUUAAGUCAGAUGUGAAAGCCCUGGGCUCAACCUGGGAACUGCAUUUGAUACUGGAUCACUAGAGUGCGGUAGAGGAUAGUGGAAUUCCCGGUGU
RNAcentral lists this ribosomal RNA (578 nucleotides) under Lysobacter sp. StRD346. RNAcentral describes it as "bacterial SSU rRNA". It matches the Rfam family "Bacterial small subunit ribosomal RNA", at positions 102 to 676 of the family's 1533-position model. The record is from RNAcentral. Lineage: Bacteria; Pseudomonadati; Pseudomonadota; Gammaproteobacteria; Lysobacterales; Lysobacteraceae.